GAUGAAGAACGGAGCGAAAUGCGAUAAGUAAUGUGAAUUGCAGAAUUCAGUGAAUCAUCGAAUCUUUGAACGCACAUUGCGCCCGCUAGUAUUCUGGCGGGCAUGCCUGUCCGAGCGUCAUUUCAACCCUCAAGCCCCCGGGCUUGGUGUUGGGGAUCGGCGAGCCUCCGCGCCCGCCGUCCCCUAAAUCUAGUGGCGGUCUCGCUGUAGCUUCCUCUGCGUAGUAGCACACCUCGCACUGGGAAACAGCGCGGCCACGCCGUUAAACCCCCAACUUCUGAACGUUUGACCUCGGAUCAGGUAGGAAUACCCGCUGAACUUAAGCAUAUCAAUAAGCGGAGGA
Molecule: unclassified non-coding RNA, 343 nt
Filed under: soil metagenome
Description: partial contains 5.8S ribosomal RNA, internal transcribed spacer 2, and large subunit ribosomal RNA
Rfam family: 5.8S ribosomal RNA (bases 1-120)
Source: RNAcentral